UAUAGUGUAAUUUAGACAUAGUUAUAGGGCGGAUGUAGCCAAGUGGAUCAAGGCAGUGGAUUGUGAAUCCACCAU
RNAcentral lists this transfer RNA (75 nucleotides) under Vicia sativa (common vetch). RNAcentral's name for it is "tRNA-His". Lineage: Eukaryota; Viridiplantae; Streptophyta; Magnoliopsida; Fabales; Fabaceae. The record is from RNAcentral.